GGUAGUGUGGCCGAGCGAUAGGCGGCGAGUUGUAGCCUCGCCAACUGGGAUUUGUCCCACGCUACCAGGCC
Molecule: transfer RNA, 71 nt
Filed under: Lygodactylus stevensoni (Stevenson's dwarf gecko)
Lineage: Eukaryota; Metazoa; Chordata; Lepidosauria; Squamata; Gekkonidae
Description: tRNA-Tyr
Source: RNAcentral